GCGGGUAUAGUAUAGCGGCUAUUAUAUCGGUUUUCCAAACCGAGGAUACGGGUUCGACUCCCGUUACCCGCUCCA
This 75-nucleotide transfer RNA is filed under the name Candidatus Peregrinibacteria bacterium. RNAcentral's name for it is "tRNA-Gly". It matches the Rfam family "tRNA". Rfam says of the family: Transfer RNA (tRNA) molecules are approximately 80 nucleotides in length. Their secondary structure includes four short double-helical elements and three loops (D, anti-codon, and T loops). Lineage: Bacteria; Candidatus Peregrinibacteriota. The record is from RNAcentral.